GACCUUUGUCGUGUUGCUUCAAAGUCUCCAGGUGGGUCUCAUGCUUGUCUCAUGUGGGUCCCUUGAUGAUGAUGUCUUGGAUGUUUAUACAGAUAUACUCUGUAUAAUUAUUUUGUACCUAUUACAAAUAUAGAAAGUCGAAAAGAAAAUAAUUUAUAAAAUAAAUUAUCUUUUAAUUAUAAUAAAUGAAAAAUUUCCGCGCAUAGCAUUGAUUCAUAUCUAGUUAGUACUAAAAUACAAGCUCAACAUUGUAGGUAGACCAGUCAUGCCAUUGUAAAUCACAAAAUCAAAAAAGACAAAUUAACAAGUUUAACAGGUUUUAGGAGACCUGUUCUAGUUAUGACAUAUUCUAGUCCUAUCCAAGGAUCACUAUUGAUUUAUUAUAUAUUUUUCAAAAUAUUAAAACGUGAUCAUGUACGGACAAGGCUAAAUUGAUAUACGGUCUUUUGGUCCAAAGUCCAAACACAGUAAUUGAUUGUUAUUGAUUUGUGUUUUGAGAUGGAACACAUGCUACCAAAGGUGUUUUGUAACAAACUAGAAAGUGAUGUUCUCAUCUUCACCCUAUUUGGGUCGAGCUUUCAAGUAAGUAACUUAAGCGUGUGAAUGUCAAAAAGUAGAGGAAGAGCAAAGGGUUUUAGGCAAAUAUGAUGUGAUACUCUCAACAACUUUGUUUAUACCUAACCCUUCGAGAGAAGCACGCAUAAAUUAUGAAUAAUUAGAGAAAAAAAUACAUGAAGAUAAUUUACAUGCAUAAUGAAGGGUUCUAAGUGAUCAUUACAAUGUUCUUUUUAUUUACAUAUAAGACACUUGAAAUAUGAAGGAGAAUGUUAUAAAUAAAUUAGAUAUGGGAUAUAACGAGAGAAGAUAGACAAAACGGACAGAAAGGCAAAGACUCGACAACUUAGGUUCAAUGAAGUGUGAGGCCAACCCUAAGAACGAGCCUCACUGGCGUGAACCCCUUUUAAACCUUGACGACAUAAUAAAACUUGUUAGUAAAUUUUGGGAUUUUUGAUUGUUCAUAGCUUAUACAGUCACAAGGAGGUCUUUCUCAGGGAACUUGUAAGGAGGUGGUGGUGAGCUUGAGAUGCGGAUCAAGCCUGAUCCUGACAAUGGAACCAUCUGUAGAAGCCGGAAACCGAAUUGAAAUAACAGUAAUAAAUAAAGCGAUAUUAAGGAAAGAAACGAUUGUAAAACUCCGAUAGAAAACGAGAAAACAAACGUUUACAGAAACAGACAUGGAGUCGACAUACGAUCUCUUUCUUUAACUCUAAAUAUUUGUUCUGUAGUGAGACGGAACUGUACGAAUAUCGAGUCUCAGGAUACAACCAUGGUAAACGAUUCACCCUUCACUCGUGAAUGCCCUCACAAACUAUAAACUCUACGAAACAUUCUCGAACUAUUAUCUUGCGCUAAGGAAUUUUCUCAGUUGGUUUUCAAAGUAAAAGUAAUAAAAAUGAAUGAAGAGAGUCGGGUUUAUUUAAAAAGAAGGAAAAGAUCUACUUCCCGCAACAGCUGAUGUCGUGUGUGCGAGAAUCUCGCGGAGAUUGAAAGAAGUUGAGUUUCGAAACUUAUUCCGCAAGACGCUUUCUUCUCGUUUAAAAAAUAUUUUGGGCGAACAGACAAAGUGCGUUUCCUUUUGAAACGAACUACACGUCGUUUAGAACGAAUUGGGGGAUGUUUUUUGAUUCGAAAAUGGGCGAAAAACCAAAAUUAAUUUGGUACCAAAUAAUAAUCAUUGGGAGAGACACCCUCCAACAAGACCAAGCUGAGUAACACGGCGGAAGCCGAGCCGGUCACCUUCCGUAAAGUCUUUGACGAGUGAUAUGUCGUAAGACAUAUUUAUAGUACUCAGCAAUAUUCAACUUACCCGAUGUGGGACAAAGUUGAGCUUAUAUCACUUGUCCAUUUUGACAGUGUUUCACAUUCCGAGUUCAUCACUUCAUCACAUUAUUGCUCAUUCCAUUUAGCUUUGUUUUUGACAUAUGAAUAUACUUACUUGUAGUGCUCUUUACAAGCUUUCCAAAUAGCUAAUAAUCUGGUCAUGGCGCCCGCUGUUUUGGCCGAAAAACCACUGUAAAAGUAAAACAAGUCAGCCUUUAUAUUCUGUUAUAAAACAGAGUUCCAACACCAUCACCGUUACAUGUGAAAGAGCUCUAAUUUUUUAAAAAGUUUUUUUUUGAGUAUUAACAGUUGGGGUAAAGAAAUGAUUAUUGUAUUCGACUUUGCAGUGAUACUUGUAAUUUCCCUUGCGUGUGUGUGUGGUACUAAUGGUCUUUGUUUUAGAAUCUGAUUUAUGUGUGUGUGUUUGUGUAUGUUUAGCUUUGGAUAAGCUGAGGUUCUUGAGUGUGACAGAGACUCAAUCCAGAUUCUUGAAGGCUCUCAAGGAAAACGAGGAUCUUGGUGCUGGUAACGGUGGUUUGGGGUUGGCUUUUACUCUGCUUACUUAGACGACUGGGAACAGAGAAAGAGGCUCGUUUGUUCCUGUUUGAGUUUUUCAGAUUUUUGUUUAUAUUUGCC
Long non-coding RNA from Brassica napus (rape), 2517 nucleotides. RefSeq lists it as uncharacterized. The record is from RefSeq and is a predicted model, not a curated record. NCBI's taxonomy places the organism in Eukaryota, Viridiplantae, Streptophyta, Magnoliopsida, Brassicales, Brassicaceae. The transcript has 4 exons.